RNAcentral lists this ribosomal RNA (110 nucleotides) under Acinetobacter baumannii. RNAcentral's name for it is "partial 16S ribosomal RNA". It matches the Rfam family "Bacterial small subunit ribosomal RNA", at positions 1 to 109 of the family's 1533-position model. The record is from RNAcentral. Lineage: Bacteria; Pseudomonadati; Pseudomonadota; Gammaproteobacteria; Moraxellales; Moraxellaceae.
UAACUGAAGAGUUUGAUCAUGGCUCAGAUUGAACGCUGGCGGCAGGCUUAACACAUGCAAGUCGAGCGGGGGAAGGUAGCUUGCUACCGGACCUAGCGGCGGACGGGUGA